AUCUCAGUAGGAGUUUCUUUCUUUCUUUGGAACGAUACAGAGAAGAUUAGCAUGGCCCCUGCGCAAGGAU
This 70-nucleotide small nuclear RNA is filed under the name Alligator mississippiensis (American alligator). Lineage: Eukaryota; Metazoa; Chordata; Crocodylia; Alligatoridae. The record is from RNAcentral.